This 71-nucleotide transfer RNA is filed under the name Spalacopus cyanus (coruro). RNAcentral's name for it is "tRNA-Gln". It matches the Rfam family "tRNA". From Rfam's summary of the family: Transfer RNA (tRNA) molecules are approximately 80 nucleotides in length. Their secondary structure includes four short double-helical elements and three loops (D, anti-codon, and T loops). Further hydrogen bonds mediate the characteristic L-shaped molecular structure. tRNAs have two regions of fundamental functional importance: the anti-codon, which is responsible for specific mRNA codon recognition, and the 3' end, to which the tRNAs corresponding amino acid is attached (by aminoacyl-tRNA synthetases). tRNAs cope with the degeneracy of the genetic code in two manners: having more than one tRNA (with a specific anti-codon) for a particular amino acid; and 'wobble' base-pairing, i.e. permitting non-standard base-pairing at the 3rd anti-codon position. The record is from RNAcentral. Lineage: Eukaryota; Metazoa; Chordata; Mammalia; Rodentia; Octodontidae.
UAGAAAUUAGUGUAGUGGUAGCACGAGGAAUUUUGAGUUCUUCAGGUUAGGUUCAAUUCCUAUUUUUCUAG